This 549-nucleotide ribosomal RNA is filed under the name uncultured Glomeromycotina. RNAcentral describes it as "SSU rRNA". It matches the Rfam family "Eukaryotic small subunit ribosomal RNA", at positions 548 to 1098 of the family's 1831-position model. The record is from RNAcentral. Lineage: Eukaryota; Fungi; Glomeromycota.
UUGGAGGGCAAGUCUGGUGCCAGCAGCCGCGGUAAUUCCAGCUCCAAUAGCGUAUAUUAAAGUUGUUGCAGUUAAAAAGCUCGUAGUUGAAUUUCGGGGUUAGUAGAUUGGUCAUGCCAUCGGUAUGCACUGGUCUCACUGAUUCCUCCUUCCUGAUGAACCUUAAUGCCAUUAAUUUGGUGUUUUGGGGAAUUUGGACUGUUACUUUGAAAAAAUUAGAGUGUUUAAAGCAAGCUAACGCUUGAAUACAUUAGCAUGGAAUAAUGAAAUAGGACGUUCGAUCCUAUUUUGUUGGUUUCUAGGAUUGACGUAAUGAUUAAUAGGGAUAGUUGGGGGCAUUAGUAUUCAAUUGUCAGAGGUGAAAUUCUUGGAUUUAUUGAAGACUAACUACUGCGAAAGCAUUUGCCAAGGAUGUUUUCAUUAAUCAAGAACGAAAGUUAGGGGAUCGAAGACGAUCAGAUACCGUCGUAGUCUUAACCAUAAACUAUGCCGACUAGGGAUCGGAUGAUGUUAAUUUUUUAAUGACUCAUUCGGCGCCUUACGGGAAAC